AGUGAACGCUGGCGGUAGGCCUAACACAUGCAAGUCGAACGAGUGGCGGACGGGUGAGGAAUACAUCGGAAUCUACUCUGUCGUGGGGGAUAACGUAGGGACACUUACGCUAAUAACGCAUACGAUUGAAUGAGCCGAUGUCGGAUUAGCUAGUUGGCUGGGUAAAGGCCCACCAAGGCGACGAUCCGUAGCUGGUCUGAGAGGAUGAUCAGCCACACUGGAACGGAGACACGGUCCAGACUACUACGGGAGGCAGCGGUGGGGAAUAUUGGACAAUGGGCGGAAGCCUGAUCCAGCCAUACCGCGUGGGUGAAGAAGGCCUUCGGGUUGUAAAGUAAUUUCAGCGGGGAGGCGGUACCCGAAGAAGAAGCACCGGCUAACUCCGUGCCAGCAGCCGCGGUAAUUC
Molecule: ribosomal RNA, 406 nt
Filed under: uncultured bacterium
Lineage: Bacteria
Description: partial 16S ribosomal RNA
Rfam family: Bacterial small subunit ribosomal RNA
Source: RNAcentral